AUUAUUGGUAUCACCUGCUCAAUGAAUUUUAAAUAGCCGCAGAAUUUUUACUGUGCUAAGGUAGCAUAAUCAUUAGCCUUUUAAUUGAAGGCUUGUAUGAAAGGUAUAACAAUUUAAUUUCUUUUUUAUUUAAUAUUUUUCUAAAUUUUAUUAAAUAUAAAAAUAUAUUUAUAAUAAUAUAAGACGACAAGACCCUAUUGAACUUUACUGAAGUUUAGCUGGGGCAGCUAAUUAAUUAAAAUUUUAAUUAUAUAAUAUUAUAUAAAUAGACCCAAUACUAUUGAAUAUUUGAAUUAAGUUACCAUAGGGAUAACAGCGUAAUUUAUUUUUAAAGUUCGUAUUAAAAAAAAAAGAUUGCGACCUCGAUGUUGAAUUAUUGUCUCAAUUAUAUGUAACAAUAUAGAUUUGUAGGUCUGUUCGACCUUUAAAACAAUACGUGAUC
RNAcentral lists this ribosomal RNA (442 nucleotides) under Herennia multipuncta. Its description in RNAcentral is "partial 16S ribosomal RNA". It matches the Rfam family "Bacterial large subunit ribosomal RNA", at positions 1845 to 2605 of the family's 2925-position model. Lineage: Eukaryota; Metazoa; Arthropoda; Arachnida; Araneae; Nephilidae. The record is from RNAcentral.